Lasallia pustulata is the source of this 122-nucleotide non-coding RNA. NCBI's taxonomy places the organism in Eukaryota, Fungi, Ascomycota, Lecanoromycetes, Umbilicariales, Umbilicariaceae. The record is from Rfam.
AGCAAUAUUGACACAACUCAUGAGAUACUGGGCAUCCCGUCCGCUCUGCCAAACAUAAGCUCGAGAUCGGCAGAUUCGUAGUUGGGUGGGUGACCACCAGCGAAUCCCUGCUGUUGUAUGUU